AUACGUAGGGGGCAAGCGUUAUCCGGAAUUAUUGGGCGUAAAGCGUACGUAGGUGGUUUUUUAAGCGCGGGGUUUAAGGCAAUAGCUCAACUAUUGUUCGCCCCGUGAACUGGAAGACUUGAGUACAGGAGAGGAAAGCGGAAUUCCUAGUGUAGCGGUGAAAUGCGUAGAUAUUAGGAGGAACACCAGUGGCGAAGGCGGCUUUCUGGACUGAAACUGACACUGAGGUACGAAAGCGUGGGGAGCAAACAGGAUUAGAUACCCUGGUAGUCCACGCCGUAAACGAUGAGCACUAGGUGUCGGGGUCGCAAGACUUCGGUGCCGCAGUUAACGCAGUAAGUGCUCCGCCUGGGGAGUACGUUCGCAAGAAUGAA
This 374-nucleotide ribosomal RNA is filed under the name uncultured bacterium. RNAcentral describes it as "bacterial SSU rRNA". It matches the Rfam family "Bacterial small subunit ribosomal RNA", at positions 523 to 898 of the family's 1533-position model. The record is from RNAcentral.